GAUGAACGCUAGCGACAGGCUUAACACAUGCAAGUCGAGGGGCAGCGGUGACGAAGGCUUGCCUUCGUCAGCCGGCGACCGGCGCACGGGUGAGUAACACGUAUGCAACCUGGCCGUCACAGGAGGAUAAUCGGGAGAAAUUCCGCCUAAUACUCCAUAACACACCGCAGGGACAUCCCUGGGGUGUCAAAGGAAGCGAUUCCGGUGACGGAUGGGCAUGCGGCGCAUUAGCUAGUCGGCGGGGUAACGGCCCACCGAGGCGACGAUGCGUAGGGGUUCUGAGAGGAAGGUCCCCCACACUGGAACUGAGACACGGUCCAG
Molecule: ribosomal RNA, 321 nt
Filed under: uncultured bacterium
Lineage: Bacteria
Description: bacterial SSU rRNA
Rfam family: Bacterial small subunit ribosomal RNA
Source: RNAcentral